CGCGGUAAUACAGAGGGUGCAAACGUUGCUCGGAAUUACUGGGCGUAAAGCGCGUGUAGGCGGUUUUAUAAGUCCGACGUGAAAGCCCGGGGCUCAACCCCGGAAGUGCGCUGGAUACUGUGAAGCUGGAGUCCUGAAGAGGAGAGCGGAAUUCCCGGUGUAGAGGUGAAAUUCGUAGAUAUCGGGAGGAACACCUGUGGCGAAGGCGGCUCUCUGGGCAGGUACUGACGCUGAGACGCGAAAGCGUGGGGAGCAAACAGGAUUAGAUACCCUGGUAGUCCACGCUGUAAACGAUGAGAACUAGCCGUUGUGGGUAUUGACCCCCGCAGUGGCGAAGCCAACGCGUUAAGUUCUCCGCCUGGGAAGUACGGCCGCAAGGCUAAAACUCAAAGGAAUUGACGGGG
This 404-nucleotide ribosomal RNA is filed under the name uncultured bacterium. RNAcentral describes it as "bacterial SSU rRNA". It matches the Rfam family "Bacterial small subunit ribosomal RNA", at positions 516 to 918 of the family's 1533-position model. The record is from RNAcentral.